GAGUUUGAUCCUGGCUCAGAAUGAACGCUGGCGGCAUGCCUAACACAUGCAAGUCGAACGAGAUCUUCGGAUCUAGUGGCGCACGGGUGAGUAACGCGUGGGAACCUACCUUUUAGUACGGGACAACGUUUGGAAACGAAUGCUAAUACCGUAUACGCCCUCCGGGGGAAAGGUCAGCCGCUGAAAGAGGGGCCCGCGUCUGAUUAGCUUGUUGGUAAGGUAACGGCUUACCAAGGCAACGAUCAGUAGCUGGUCUGAGAGGAUGAUCAGCCACACUGGGACUGAGACACGGCCCAGACUCCUACGGGAGGCAGCAGUGGGGAAUAUUGGACAAUGGAGGCAACUCUGAUCCAGCAAUGCCGCGUGUGUGAUGAAGGCCCUAGGGUUGUAAAGCACUUUCAACGGUGAAGAUGA
Molecule: ribosomal RNA, 414 nt
Filed under: uncultured Alphaproteobacteria bacterium
Lineage: Bacteria; Pseudomonadati; Pseudomonadota; Alphaproteobacteria
Description: bacterial SSU rRNA
Rfam family: Bacterial small subunit ribosomal RNA
Source: RNAcentral